UACGUAGGUGGCGAGCGUUGUCCGGAAUUACUGGGUGUAAAGGGCGCGCAGGCGGGCCAUUAAGUCAGAUGUGAAAUCCCCAGGCUUAACUUGGGGGGUGCAACUGAAACUAAAGGUCUUGAGUGCCGGAGAGGAAAGCGGAAUUCCCAGUGUAGCGGUGAAAUGCGUAGAUAUUGGGAGGAACACCAGUGGCGAAGGCGGCUUUCUGGACGGUAACUGACGCUGAGGCGCGAAAGCGUGGGGAG
Molecule: ribosomal RNA, 245 nt
Filed under: uncultured bacterium
Lineage: Bacteria
Description: partial 16S ribosomal RNA
Rfam family: Bacterial small subunit ribosomal RNA
Source: RNAcentral